GAACCCUAAAAAGGUUAGUAUGUCAUAACCGUGUAUCAUAAAUCAAUGAGUCAAAUUUAAAUGGUGUUUUGAGGUCAAGUUUCAUUUGCAAACAAAAAAAAACUCAUCAAAGCUUUAAAUUUAAUGGGAAAAAGUGUGCUUUCGGACGGUAUUGACCGCUAAAAAACUAAGGUACGUGUGGUCGAAUAUUUCGAUACAUUUCUUCAUUGUCGCCUCGAAUGUGACGACAAAAGACGGAGUUCCUUCGGAUCGAUACAACACAUUCGCAAAUGACUCGGAGUUAGUGUCAUCAGUUGCUGAAGACGGUCCGAGUUGAGAUGACACUCCAGUCACAUAUUGGUCAAUUGCUGUCAUAGCAAAUGUAUUUUCGUUGGAACCUGGUCCAGGAAUUCAGAGCUGGUGGUUCUCCGUUGGAGUGUUCGUAGCUGGAAAUGAGUCUUCGACUCUCGUCAGGUUCCAAUCGGACAAAACGCCAUCCAAUGACGUUUCGUCGUUCACAAUGAGCUCCAUCCAAAAUUCUUCGGACUGCGAUAGUAGGACGUCUUCCAGAAAACGAAUACCGACUGGCGGCGCCUGUUCAUAAUUGAUCGUUCUGCCGAUACUUAAAUCAGCCGCAGUUUCGCUGGCCAUGAUAAAUGGUCGUCUUUGAUUACACUGUACGCACAAUAUCUACAAUCUUGAAUUAUUUUUAUAUAUUUUAUGGAUGAAAUACAAUUUUUCACUUACUUUAUGUGAGAGCAC
Molecule: long non-coding RNA, 741 nt
Organism: Bradysia coprophila
Lineage: Eukaryota; Metazoa; Arthropoda; Insecta; Diptera; Sciaridae
Source: RefSeq, a predicted model, not a curated record